AUGGACAUUUAUAGGAGUGAGGAGCUGUUUUGGCAAUGUCGAGGGGGCCAAAACUGGCUCCUUAAGGGGGGUGCUAAUACAGCAUACUUUCAGGCGAUUGCUAACGGCCGCAGGCGAAAAUGUGCCAUCCCGUUCCUCUGGGAUGGGGGUGUUCUUUUGGAGAACUCAGAGGACAUCUCCUCCCAUAUCCACUCCUUUCAUUAGGAGCUUUUCUCGGCUGAGCCACGCGGAGGCGUCUCCCUCCACACUGACGUCUGGCCGCUUGUUGAUUAG
RNAcentral lists this ribosomal RNA (273 nucleotides) under Triticum aestivum (bread wheat). RNAcentral describes it as "partial small subunit ribosomal RNA". The record is from RNAcentral. Lineage: Eukaryota; Viridiplantae; Streptophyta; Magnoliopsida; Poales; Poaceae.